RNAcentral lists this long non-coding RNA (1751 nucleotides) under Homo sapiens (human). Its description in RNAcentral is "HSALNT0067245". The record is from RNAcentral. Lineage: Eukaryota; Metazoa; Chordata; Mammalia; Primates; Hominidae.
AACACUCUGAGAGGGAGAUUUGUGUGCCUGUGAGGGGCAGAUAAUACAGGAUCGGGCAGAGGGAGAAGUGGAGCUGUGAUAUAGUCAUAGCAGAGGAUGCAGCUGGUCCCUCAGGGCUUAGGCCUGGGGUGGCCUUCAGAGAUGUCCCAAAUUGAUGCCGGAGUGGAGACUCGACCGGUCACUGGAUGUGUGCUUCCCCUCCCCCCAGGGACAAAAAUGUGGCUCUCUUGGGCCUCAGCUGUGAGCUGUGAGCAGCCGACACUCCUGCAGCUGGAGGAAGGGUCUUGGUCCUGGAUGACUGGUGUGGGUGGCAAACCCCAAAUCUGCGAUCAACAGUACGCUGAUGUUUAAACAUGAGGCAGCUGCAGUCUCAGGAAGUGUGUGGUGAAGCAGGGAAGCUAAAGCCCAGGCCUUCAAGCCAAAGAGCCAGAAAGGGUGGGGGAAUAAGGGUGGGGUGGGGUGGCCCCAAAGCCAGAAAGUGUCACAGAGACUGAAGAGAAGGAGGUGCUCAGGGCAGGAAUCCCAUAAAGCUGGAUCCAAGCUCCUGGGCCCAUCCCUCGACGGCACAGGCAUGGACCGUAAAUAUCCCUCGACGGCGCAGGCGCGGGCCGUAAGUAUCCCUCGACGGCGCAGGCGCGGACCGUAAAUUGCACACCGAAGGCCCUGAGAACUGAACCGUGGGUAGAUUAUCACCCCGGUCCCAGACUGGCCACUGGUUUGUGCACGUGUGGGGCAGAUCCCAACCACAAAAUACAGAGACUUGAAAACUGACAUUGGAGCUGCCCUCGCUGGAACUUGGGGUCUCAGCCUAAGUCAACUACCUGCUAAAACCAACCUGCUGACAAACAAAAAUAACAUUCUCUGCAGGCUUUAAACAAGACCCAGAAUCUCAUAACUUCAUCUUCACAGAGUCUAAGAUACAAUCCAAAACUACUCAACGUACAAAGAACCACAGAACUCUCACAUCUCACAAGGAGAAAGACAAGCAACUGAGGCCAAUCCCAAGAUGAGGCAGGUGUUGGAAUAUCACAGACGUUAAGCAGCUGUUAUAACCAUGCUCCAAGGAGUAAGAACAAACACUACUGAAGUGAACAAAAAGAUACAUCAUCUUGGCAGAUACAUGAAAUAUUAAAAAGAAAUAUGAAAAUUUUAGAACUGAAAAAUACAACAACCCAAAUAGAAAAUUCGCCUGAGAGGCACAAGAUGAGAAUGGGCCACAGGCCAUGGACCUCCACAGGCAGCCCCGAGGCCUCCUCGGGUUUGGAGGACGUGGGUGGAGGGCACUGAGACCAGCACCAAAACAAGUGGCUUUGGUCCCAGAACCCUUGAUGCUGCUGCCACUCAGGCCACCCAUGUCCAAAUCUGCCCAGUCCUGCCUGGCUCACAGUCUGGCUGUGCCUGCCUCCCCUCACCUCCACCCCUGCCCCACAACCAUUACGCAUUUCCUCAACUGCCUCCUCUAUGAGCCCCUCCCACCCAGAUGCAAGCUCCCACCGGGAGGGGACUGGUGGUUUCUCUCUUACUGUCAUCACGACGCUCUGCAUACAGCAAGAGGCACAAGAGGAGGUCUGGCAAAAGGAGGACGCACCUCCAACUUGGUCUGCAGGGAAGAAGCAAAAGUGAACAGGAAAUAAGGUCUCGCAGCUGGAAGUUCUGACGCUUUGAAUUCCUCACAAUUUCUCAACCCCAUUUCAAGACGAGGAAACUGAUGCCAUUGAGAGAUUAAAAGGCUAGAAUGGGCGGGCGCGGCG